UUGAACAAACUUAUAAGUAAGGGUUAUCGUACCAAUAUUGUAAUUAGAUCUCUGAAUAUAGUUUACAUUGGCACUAAUAUCGAUUUUGUCAUAGCAAGUUAAUACAUAACUAAAUUGUGGUUUUCUUUGAGGCGGGAUGUAUAGAGACACAGACACGUUGAUUUUUGUCUCUGUAGAAAUCGCUCCUCGCUAUCCUACUGCCUGUCGAUACAUUUAUUUUUGGCAUUGCACAAGUCAUGUCUUCUCUGACUGUUCAUGACUUUAAAAUGCUAAAUCCCUGUGAUGUGUUUUAGUUGAUUUUAGUCUCUGAUGCAAGAUUU
Molecule: long non-coding RNA, 320 nt
Filed under: Mytilus galloprovincialis (Mediterranean mussel)
Lineage: Eukaryota; Metazoa; Mollusca; Bivalvia; Mytilida; Mytilidae
Source: RNAcentral